GUGGCUCAGUGAUGGAGCAUUUUUGUAGCAUGCAUAAAGACCCUGGAUUUGAUUGCCAGCACUACAAAACAGAGGGUUUCCCAAUAGGCAUGCAUUGGUAAGUUAAAAUUGUUAUUAUAUAGUAAACCAUAAUAAGCAGAAUAGAAUUCUACCAGAUUAUUUCUAACGUCUUGAUUAUAAUUACAGUGUGUCAUUAUUUUAUAAUUUGUUUAAUUUUAUUUAUUUUGGAAGUAGGGCCUCAUGUGGCCUAGGCUGGCUCUGACAUCACUAUGUAGACAAUGGUGGUAUUGAAUAUUGAUUCUCCCUCCACUUCUCAAAUGCUGGGAUUACAGAUACACACCCGCAUUGCUGGAAUAUGUGGUGCUGGAAUCGAACCCAGGGUUCAUGCUUUUCUAGGCAAGUACUGUACCAACUCAGUUACAUCCACAGCCCAAUUUCAUGGUGUUAACUAACUUACCGUCUUUACAGAAACAGCUGCAACACCACUUAAUGGUUCACCUCGGACACCCAGAAGAGGUCAGAACAGGAGUGCUCGGAUAGCAAAACAACUAGAAAGUGAUACAAGAACUAUUGAAGUUCUCUGUAAGGAGCACGAGUGUAAUGUAGAUGAGGUGAAAAAUGUUUAUUUCAAAAAUUUUAUCCCUUUUAUAAAUUCACUUGGAAUUGUAUCAUCUAAUGGACUUCCAGAGCUUGAAAGUCUUUCUAAACGCUACGAAGAAGUUUAUCUUAAAAGCAAAGAUUUAGAUGCAAGACUAUUUUUGGAUCAUGACAAAACACUUCAGACUGAUACUAUAGACAGGUAUUGCAAUAACAUAUUUUAUACAUUAGCCUGCUUUUUAUUUGUAUUACUAAUUACUCAGAUAUGUUACAUAGAUUUUCAUUAACUUAGACAUCUUUGAACAGCUUUUGUAGCAGAUUAUUCUCAAAUGUCUUUUGUCUAGUGUAAAGGUAGUUCUUUAAACAUACAAAAAUAACAAAUAGAGAUU
Molecule: long non-coding RNA, 986 nt
Organism: Rattus rattus (black rat)
Lineage: Eukaryota; Metazoa; Chordata; Mammalia; Rodentia; Muridae
Exons: 3
Source: RefSeq, a predicted model, not a curated record